UACGGAGGAUCCGAGCGUUAUCCGGAUUUAUUGGGUUUAAAGGGUGCGCAGGCGGGAGAUUAAGUCGGCGGUGAAAUUUUGCAGCUCAACUGUAAAAGUGCCUUCGAAACUGGUUUCCUUGAGUGUAGAUGAAGUAGGCGGAAUUUGUGGUGUAGCGGUGAAAUGCAUAGAUAUCACGAGGAACUCCGAUUGCGCAGGCAGCUUACUAAACUACUACUGACGCUCAGGCACGAAGGCGUGGGGAUCAAACAGGAUUAGAUACCCCCGUA
RNAcentral lists this ribosomal RNA (269 nucleotides) under uncultured prokaryote. Its description in RNAcentral is "partial 16S ribosomal RNA". It matches the Rfam family "Bacterial small subunit ribosomal RNA", at positions 524 to 792 of the family's 1533-position model. The record is from RNAcentral.